GACAGAGGGUGCAAACGUUGUUCGGAAUUACUGGGCGUAAAGCGCGUGUAGGCGGCCCGGAAAGUCGGAUGUGAAAGCCCUGGGCUUAACCUAGGAAGUGCAUUCGAAACUGCUGGGCUUGAGUUCUGGAGAGGAAGGCGGAAUUCUCGGUGUAGAGGUGAAAUUCGUAGAUAUCGAGAGGAACACCGGUGGCGAAGGCGGCCUUCUGGACAGUGACUGACGCUGAGACGCGAAAGCGUGGGGAGCAAACAGG
Molecule: ribosomal RNA, 253 nt
Filed under: uncultured bacterium
Lineage: Bacteria
Also listed under: 1 other name
Description: partial 16S ribosomal RNA
Rfam family: Bacterial small subunit ribosomal RNA
Source: RNAcentral